AAUGAACGCUGGCGGCGUGCUUAACACAUGCAAGUCGAACGAGAACGGGAUUGCUUGCAAUCCUUAGUAGAGUGGCGCACGGGUGAGUAACACGUAGAUAAUCUACCUUCAAAACUGGAAUAACUGUUCGAAAGGGCAGCUAAUACCGGAUAAAGUUUAUACACAUAAGUGUAUUUAUGGAAGAUUGCCUCUUCUUGAAAGCAAUUGUUUGGAGAUGAGUCUGCGGACCAUUAGCUUGUUGGUGGGGUAAAGGCCUACCAAGGCUGCGAUGGUUAGCUGGUCUGAGAGGAUGAUCAGCCACACUGGAACUGACACACGGUCCAG
Molecule: ribosomal RNA, 324 nt
Filed under: uncultured Desulfobacter sp.
Lineage: Bacteria; Pseudomonadati; Thermodesulfobacteriota; Desulfobacteria; Desulfobacterales; Desulfobacteraceae
Description: bacterial SSU rRNA
Rfam family: Bacterial small subunit ribosomal RNA
Source: RNAcentral